CGCGUAGGCGGCCUGAUAAGUAUGGGGUGAAAUCUCACGGCUCAACCGUGAGGCUGCCUUGUAGACUGUCAGGCUUGAGCACGGUAGAGGCAGAUGGAAUUCCCGGUGUAGCGGUGGAAUGCGUAGAGAUCGGGAAGAACACCAGUGGCGAAGGCGGUCUGCUGGGCCGUAGCUGACGCUGAGGCGCGACAGCGUGGGGAGCAAACAGGAUUAGAUACCCUGGUAGUCCACGCCGUAAACGAUGGGCACUAGGCGUCGGGGGGAGCGACCCUCCCGGUGCCGUCGCUAACGCUGUAAGUGCCCCGCCUGGGGAGUACGGCCGCAAGGCUGAA
This 332-nucleotide ribosomal RNA is filed under the name uncultured Gemmatimonas sp. RNAcentral describes it as "bacterial SSU rRNA". It matches the Rfam family "Bacterial small subunit ribosomal RNA", at positions 568 to 898 of the family's 1533-position model. Lineage: Bacteria; Pseudomonadati; Gemmatimonadota; Gemmatimonadia; Gemmatimonadales; Gemmatimonadaceae. The record is from RNAcentral.